Carassius gibelio (silver crucian carp) is the source of this 321-nucleotide long non-coding RNA. RefSeq lists it as uncharacterized. The record is from RefSeq and is a predicted model, not a curated record. NCBI's taxonomy places the organism in Eukaryota, Metazoa, Chordata, Actinopteri, Cypriniformes, Cyprinidae. The transcript has 3 exons.
UCUGCGCGGGAGAGUGAGGAGACUGAGGAAUCGAUGCUGAAGUACGACGAAAGAAGUUCAGACAUCAUUUUCAAACAGAUUUUUCUUCAUUUAAGUUAUGCCAAACAUCGUAGGUCUGACUCAACUGAACGACUAACUUUACGACUUUCACAUUUAGAAGAAGUCCAUGCAGUGCCGCUUCUGCAAGUUUUCAUCACCUCACCAAGACCUAAUUUUCAAGCACUACAGAACUUGCCAUUGGUCAGUUAAUGCAACUUCCUUUCCAUGUUUACACCUAGAAUGUGUUUGCAUUUUCAAGACAAUUGGAGCUUUAAAAACACA